UGGGGGAUAUUGCGCAAUGGGGGAAACCCUGACGCAGCAAUGCCGCGUGAAGGAUGAAGGUUUUCGGAUUGUAAACUUCUUUUGUUAAGGACGAAAUUUGACGGUACUUAACGAAUAAGCUCCGGCUAACUAUGUGCCAGCAGCCGCGGUAAUACAUAGGGAGCAAGCGUUAUCCGGAUUUACUGGGUGUAAAGGGUGCGUAGGCGGCUAAGCAAGUCAGAUGUGAAAUCUAUGGGCUCAACCCAUAGCCUGCAUUUGAAACUGUUUAGCUUGAGUGAGGUAGAGGCAGGCGGAAUUCCCGGUGUAGCGGUGAAAUGCGUAGAGAUCGGGAGGAACACCAGUGGCGAAGGCGGCCUGCUGGGCCUUAACUGACGCUGAGGCACGAAAGCGUGGGUAGCAAACAGG
This 405-nucleotide ribosomal RNA is filed under the name uncultured prokaryote. Its description in RNAcentral is "bacterial SSU rRNA". It matches the Rfam family "Bacterial small subunit ribosomal RNA", at positions 355 to 776 of the family's 1533-position model. The record is from RNAcentral. RNAcentral also lists the same sequence under 1 other name.